UCCAGACUCCUACGGGAGGCAGCAGUAGGGAAUCUUUCACAAUGGGCGAAAGCCUGAUGGAGCAACGCCGCGUGCAGGAUGAAGGCCUUCGGGUUGUAAACUGCUUUUAUAAGCGAGAAAUAUGAUGGUAACUUAUGAAUAAGGAUCGGCUAACUACGUGCCAGCAGCCGCGGUAAUACGUAGGUGGCAAGCGUUAUCCGGAAUGAUUGGGCGUAAAGGGUGCGCAGGCGGCGCGGCAAGUCUGAAGUGAAAGGUACGGGCUCAACCUGUACAGGCUUUGGAAACUGCCACGCUCGAGGACAGGAGAGGGCGGUGGAACUCCAUGUGUAGCGGUAAAAUGCGUAGAUAUAUGGAAGAACACCAGUGGCGAAGGCGGCCGCCUGGACUGUUACUGACGCUCAGGCACGAAAGCGUGGGGAGCAAAUAGGAUUAGAUACCCGAGUAC
Molecule: ribosomal RNA, 445 nt
Filed under: uncultured bacterium
Lineage: Bacteria
Description: bacterial SSU rRNA
Rfam family: Bacterial small subunit ribosomal RNA
Source: RNAcentral